RNAcentral lists this ribosomal RNA (497 nucleotides) under uncultured bacterium. RNAcentral describes it as "partial 16S ribosomal RNA". It matches the Rfam family "Bacterial small subunit ribosomal RNA", at positions 28 to 507 of the family's 1533-position model. The record is from RNAcentral.
GAUGAACGCUGGCGGCGUGCCUAAUACAUGCAAGUCGAGCGAACAGACGAGGAGCUUGCUCCUCUGACGUUAGCGGCGGACGGGUGAGUAACACGUGGAUAACCUACCUAUAAGACUGGGAUAACUUCGGGAAACCGGAGCUAAUACCGGAUAAUAUAUUGAACCGCAUGGUUCAAUAGUGAAAGACGGUUUUGCUGUCACUUAUAGAUGGAUCCGCGCCGCAUUAGCUAGUUGGUAAGGUAACGGCUUACCAAGGCGACGAUGCGUAGCCGACCUGAGAGGGUGAUCGGCCACACUGGAACUGAGACACGGUCCAGACUCCUACGGGAGGCAGCAGUAGGGAAUCUUCCGCAAUGGGCGAAAGCCUGACGGAGCAACGCCGCGUGAGUGAUGAAGGUCUUCGGAUCGUAAAACUCUGUUAUUAGGGAAGAACAAAUGUGUAAGUAGCUAUGCACGUCUUGACGGUUCCUAAUCAGAAAGCCACGGCUAACUACGUG